GUGCCAGCAGCCGCGGUAAUACAGAGGGUGCGAGCGUUAAUCGGAAUUACUGGGCGUAAAGCGCACGUAGGUGGCGACGUAAGUCGGGUGUGAAAGCCCCGGGCUCAACCUGGGAAUUGCAUUCGAGACUGCAUUGCUGGAGUACGGAAGAGGAGGGCGGAAUUCCCGGUGUAGCGGUGAAAUGCGUAGAUAUCGGGAGGAACAUCAGUGGCGAAGGCGGCCCUCUGGUCCAGUACUGACACUCAAGUGCGAAAGCGUGGGGAGCAAACAGGAGGAUAAACCACUGGAUUAC
This 292-nucleotide ribosomal RNA is filed under the name uncultured bacterium. RNAcentral's name for it is "partial 16S ribosomal RNA". It matches the Rfam family "Bacterial small subunit ribosomal RNA", at positions 505 to 795 of the family's 1533-position model. The record is from RNAcentral.